CAACGUGGGCAAUCUGCCGAAAAGUGGGGGAUAGCUCGCCGAAAGGCGAAUUAAUACCGCAUGUGGUGAGGGACGACAUCUUCCUGAAUCCAAAGCCGGGGUCAAACCUGGCGCUUUUUGAGGAGCCCGCGGCCUAUCAGCUAGUUGGUGAGGUAACGGCCCACCAAGGCUUUGACGGGUAGCUGGUCUGAGAGGACGACCAGUCACACUGGAACUGAGACACGGUCCAG
RNAcentral lists this ribosomal RNA (230 nucleotides) under uncultured bacterium. RNAcentral's name for it is "partial 16S ribosomal RNA". It matches the Rfam family "Bacterial small subunit ribosomal RNA", at positions 113 to 334 of the family's 1533-position model. The record is from RNAcentral.